CACUAUCGUUAACUGAAUACAUAGGUUAACGAGGCGAACCGGGGGAACUGAAACAUCUAAGUACCCCGAGGAAAAGAAAUCAACCGAGAUUCCCCCAGUAGCGGCGAGCGAACGGGGAGCAGCCCAGAGUCUGAAUCAGCUUGUGUGUUAGUGGAACGGUCUGGAAAGUCCGACGGUACAGGGUGAUAGUCCCGUACACCAAAAUGCACAGGUUGUGAACUCGAAGAGUAGGGCGGGACACGUGGUAUCCUGUCUGAAUAUGGGGGGACCAUCCUCCAAGGCUAAAUACUCCUGACUGACCGAUAGUGAACCAGUACCGUGAGGGAAAGGCGAAAAGAACCCCGGCGAGGGGAGUGAAAAAGAACCUGAAACCGUGUACGUACAAGCAGUGGGAGCACCUUCGGGUGUGACUGCGUACCUUUUGUAUAAUGGGUCAGCGACUUAUAUUCUGUAGCAAGGUUAACCGUAUAGGGGAGCCGCAGGGAAACCGAGUCUUAACUGGGCGUUAAGUUGCAGGGUAUAGACCCGAAACCCGGUGAUCUAGCCAUGGGCAGGUUGAAGGUUGGGUAACACUAACUGGAGGACCGAACCGACUAAUGUUGAAAAAUUAGCGGAUGACUUGUGGCUGGGGGUGAAAGGCCAAUCAAACCGGGAGAUAGCUGGUUCUCCCCGAAAGCUAUUUAGGUAGCGCCUCGUGAAUUCAUCUUCGGGGGUAGAGCACUGUUUCGGCUAGGGGGUCAUCCCGACUUACCAACCCGAUGCAAACUACGAAUACCGAAGAAUGUUAUCACGGGAGACACACGGCGGGUGCUAACGUCCGUCGUGAAGAGGGAAACAACCCAGACCGCCAGCUAAGGUCCCAAAGUCAUGGUUAAGUGGGAAACGAUGUGGGAAGGCACAGACAGCCAGGAUGUUGGCUUAGAAGCAGCCAUCAUUUAAAGAAAGCGUAAUAGCUCACUGGUCGAGUCGGCCUGCGCGGAAGAUGUAACGGGGCUAAACCAUGCACCGAAGCUGCGGCAGCGACACUAUGUGUUGUUGGGUAGGGGAGCGUUCUGUAAGCCUGCGAAGGUGUGCUGUGAGGCAUGCUGGAGGUAUCAGAAGUGCGAAUGCUGACAUAAGUAACGAUAAAGCGGGUGAAAAGCCCGCUCGCCGGAAGACCAAGGGUUCCUGUCCAACGUUAAUCGGGGCAGGGUGAGUCGACCCCUAAGGCGAGGCCGAAAGGCGUAGUCGAUGGGAAACAGGUUAAUAUUCCUGUACUUGGUGUUACUGCGAAGGGGGGACGGAGAAGGCUAUGUUAGCCGGGCGACGGUUGUCCCGGUUUAAGCAUGUAGGCUGGUUGUCCAGGCAAAUCCGGAUAAUCAAGGCUGAGGUGUGAUGACGAGGCACUACGGUGCUGAAGUAACAAAUGCCCUGCUUCCAGGAAAAGCCUCUAAGCAUCAGGUAACAUCAAAUCGUACCCCAAACCGACACAGGUGGUCAGGUAGAGAAUACCAAGGCGCUUGAGAGAACUCGGGUGAAGGAACUAGGCAAAAUGGUGCCGUAACUUCGGGAGAAGGCACGCUGGUGUGUAGGUGAAGUCCCUGCGGAUGGAGCUGAGACCAGUCGAAGAUACCAGCUGGCUGCAACUGUUUAUUAAAAACACAGCACUGUGCAAACACGAAAGUGGACGUAUACGGUGUGACGCCUGCCCGGUGCCGGAAGGUUAAUUGAUGGGGUUAUCCGUAAGGAGAAGCUCUUGAUCGAAGCCCCGGUAAACGGCGGCCGUAACUAUAACGGUCCUAAGGUAGCGAAAUUCCUUGUCGGGUAAGUUCCGACCUGCACGAAUGGCGUAAUGAUGGCCAGGCUGUCUCCACCCGAGACUCAGUGAAAUUGAACUCGCUGUGAAGAUGCAGUGUACCCGCGGCAAGACGGAAAGACCCCGUGAACCUUUACUAUAGCUUGACACUGAACAUUGAGCCUUGAUGUGUAGGAUAGGUGGGAGGCUUUGAAGCGUGGACGCCAGUCUGCGUGGAGCCAACCUUGAAAUACCACCCUUUAAUGUUUGAUGUUCUAACGUUGGCCCCUGACCGGGGUUGCGGACAGUGUCUGGUGGGUAGUUUGACUGGGGCGGUCUCCUCCCAAAGCGUAACGGAGGAGCACGAAGGUUAGCUAAUCCUGGUCGGACAUCAGGAGGUUAGUGCAAUGGCAUAAGCUAGCUUGACUGCGAGCGUGACGGCGCGAGCAGGUGCGAAAGCAGGUCAUAGUGAUCCGGUGGUUCUGAAUGGAAGGGCCAUCGCUCAACGGAUAAAAGGUACUCCGGGGAUAACAGGCUGAUACCGCCCAAGAGUUCAUAUCGACGGCGGUGUUUGGCACCUCGAUGUCGGCUCAUCACAUCCUGGGGCUGAAGUAGGUCCCAAGGGUAUGGCUGUUCGCCAUUUAAAGUGGUACGCGAGCUGGGUUUAGAACGUCGUGAGACAGUUCGGUCCCUAUCUGCCGUGGGCGCUGGAGAAUUGAGGGGGGCUGCUCCUAGUACGAGAGGACCGGAGUGGACGCAUCACUGGUGUUCGGGUUGUCAUGCCAAUGGCACUGCCCGGUAGCUAAAUGCGGAAGAGAUAAGUGCUGAAAGCAUCUAAGCACGAAACUUGCCCCGAGAUGAGUUCUCCCUGAGACUUUAAGUCUCCUGAAGGAACGUUAAAGACGAUGACGUUGAUAGGCCGGGUGUGUAAGCGCAGCGAUGCGUUGAGCUAACCGGUACUAAUGAACCGUGAGGCUUAACCUU
This 2758-nucleotide ribosomal RNA is filed under the name Klebsiella pneumoniae. RNAcentral describes it as "bacterial LSU rRNA". It matches the Rfam family "Bacterial large subunit ribosomal RNA". The record is from RNAcentral. Lineage: Bacteria; Pseudomonadati; Pseudomonadota; Gammaproteobacteria; Enterobacterales; Enterobacteriaceae.